Molecule: long non-coding RNA, 406 nt
Filed under: Mustela putorius furo (domestic ferret)
Lineage: Eukaryota; Metazoa; Chordata; Mammalia; Carnivora; Mustelidae
Description: lncRNA (ENSMPUG00000024176.1)
Source: RNAcentral
AAUCUUGUUUAAUAUUCACAGCCAUCCGAUGGGGUAAAUAAUGUUAUUGUUUCCCAUUUUCCAGAUGAAGAAAUUGAGACCUAAGAAAAUUAAGAGCCAAGUUCAAGACCACAUAACUAAGAAUCUCAGUUCUGCUCAAGUGAGCGUGCUCUCUACCUGGCUAACUCCGGCCCUAGCAGAGAAGGCGAUCUUUGGCGCUGGCUGCUCUCCGACAUGGCCCACAUGAUGCAUUCAACAGAGGACGUGCUCCAAAGAUGUACCGUAUGUUCAUUACAGUCUUUUGUCUUCACAAAAAAACCAAUGAGAAUAUUAUCGUCCCCCCUUCACAGGUGAACAUGAGACUUUGAGAAGUCGUGUGCCUUGGGUCACUGGCCUGUGAUCUUAGGUCCAUGCAGCAACAACAAAG